UACCGCCUAUCUGCACUUCCACCGCCGUUCUCCCUCUGAUAACUUCUCCCCUGCCAAGAUCCUUCCGCCGCCACCGCAUCGAAGUGCCGCGCGAGGAGGCCGGCAAUGGCGAGGCCACGCAAAAGAGUAGUAGGAGAUUGAGAGGCGCGGGAGCUGCGCCUAUGGAGGCUCCUAGGAUUCAGGCACAUGAGGGGAACGGUGUCGCGACGGUGGGUUAUUAGUGGAGGAGGCUGACGCGACGUGUUGCCAUAGACCUGCAGCGCGAGAAGAGAUUGGAGCCGGCCAGAACCGCGGCGACGCCGGCAGCGUCGGCGGAGGAGGCCAACCUGAUGCAGGUUGCCGAGCAGCUGGGUGGGAUGAGGUCAGGUUCAUCUGAGAUGCUUCUACAGUUCAUCCGUCGGUAAGGAUCCUGCAAAAUCGGGCGCCUCUGGUGAUUCCAACGACAGCGAGCACAAGCACCAAGGAGUAGCAGCGACGGCGACCAGACAAGCGCGAGGAGCGGCGGUGGGGAGCAUACAAGCGAGAGGAGCGGUAGCGGUGACUCGACAAGCCAGGGGAACGGCCUUUCCCGAUGCGUAGUUGCAGCAAGGUGGGCAUCCAGGAGGUACUCGAGGUGGCAUAAGGAAGAUGGAAAUCUGGACAGGUUUCUCCGCUGCGGCGAAUCUGCACUGUCAGGGGAUGAGCAAGGUUGCAUCGACCUCCUUGGACAGUGCGGAUCACCUCUCUUGCCAGUGCCUCCCUGCCUCUGCCGCAGCCUCUCCCCACUGCUACACUCUGCUUCGGGCCUCCUCUGAGAACCAUGGUUCGAUCCUCACUCUCGCAAAUUUGUUGGGUUCUGUUCAGAAGUAUAUUAUAGGCUCACAUUGAAAGUGCAGACACACACAUUCAGUAGGGAGAUCCCCACUGAUUUGCCACGGCGGUUCUUAUCCUGCACUUCUCAAAUUUUUUUGAUUUUGCGAAUGAUAAUCGGUAUGACUGAAUAAAAUCAGGAUGGAAUGACUAAUUUAUGGUGGAGCAGGCAUCAGAGAUGGGAAGUUUUGAUGGUAUAGCUUGGUAUAAUGCCAAAUUUACUCAAUAUAUGUUCGUUUUUUUACAAAUAUAUUUGUGGAAUAGUGCAGGUACAUGUGUUUGUAGGGUACUGACUUAGUCCUGACUUGAUUUAAUUUGUUGGUGUUCAAUUUAGCCUAAACAGUGUCGUCUGCACUGUCCUAUGUUGUCAUAUAAACGUUUUUUUGGUUUGAGGCUUCCAAGUAAAGCAUUUAUUUUUUGUUUCUCACUGAUUCGUGAUGCAAUAAUUAGCAAUUCAAAUAUAAAAAUAGACAACGAAAAUAGAGGAUAUCAGAUGCAGGUAUAGUAGAUGCUGCCUUGAGAAUUUUUGCUAUUUGUUCACCGUAUAUGGAUGGUUGGAGUUCAUGUGCCCAUUAAACGGUUAACCUUUGCUGAUGAAAAAGAAAAGCCUUACGAUUGUGCUUGGUUUUUCUCUUAUGCACGCUCUGCCCCUCUACGAGGUAAAAGGGGUCACGGUUAAAGGUCAAAGCUUCAGUGUAAAGUUGAUAUCUUAUGCUUCUAGAAUUAGUGGAACGGUUAAAAUCAGCAAUUUGUGUCAGUGUGUAAAUCUAAUGUAUUUGUAUGCCAUGUUAUCUGGACUAGGUAAGUAGAUAUGUGGGCUCAUACUUAAAUUCACAAUUUUCAUUACAUGAUUCAGUAAGGCCACAUGGAGACCGGGCUGAAUUGGUGGUUAUAGAAAUUCCAUGGAUAAAAGCAUACACAAAAAGAUACUGUAGUUUACGCCAUUGAUAUCUCCUCUGUGGAAAUUGUUUUAUGUUAGUUCAGACUAAUCUUACAUGACAGCGUACUAGAUUUUUGUUUCUCUAUCUUUCCUUAUGAUGAUUAGGCUUCAUUUUUCAGUAAUGAGUUCCUUCUGGAGUUGAGACAUUUAAAAAAGAUGUGCAUUGUUGCUCCGAGCUGAAUUUUUUAUAUGUGUUUUUCGUAGAUAACUGAGUGCUUGGUUCUUGACAUUUUCAAGAUGAGGAUACUUUGAUAUAUUUUCCAUAUAGUUGUUCAUAUGUGGUAUAGGAAAAGAAAAUGACAGUGGGAUGCAUAUCUACACCUCUAUAAUCUGAGUGCAGAAUAUUCAGACAUAACAUGCACUGACAGAUAUAACUAACUGCGAUUUCUUAUAUGUUAGGUAGUAUCCUAGCUUUCAUAUUUGUCUAGCAUUUUAGUCCAAUAAUAUGAUGAUAAUGUUUUGACGCAGAUUGUGAUGCUGGAGAGGCACUUGGAUGAUCAGCACGGCACGCUGAACAAAGCGUUGUGCCCCAAUCGUGCAUCAGUCACCCUGUCCAAUGAGAACUCACUACUCAAGGUCACAAUUGUUCGUUCAUGAACAAAUGAAUACACGAGUUGUAUAUUCAUCGGAUGAAACUUAUGGAGAAUAAAAGAAGGGUGUAAUUUUUGACUCAUGCUGGGAGUGAUAAGCUUGAGCGUCUUGAAAAAAAAAAUGACAUGAAGGGCCUCACUGUUAAGAACUAGGCACUCAUCUGCAUUCUCAAACAACUGACCAACAGUAUCGGAUACUUUUGGUGACAUGAAAACAGAGAACCUAAGCAUCAUGCAUGUAGUCUGGGUACUCCUUCACCAUGCUAGAUCCAAAACCACCAGUCCAGAACCAAGAGAGUAGCAUACUUGGGAAGACACAAGAUAUUUCAAGUUAUACCUACUCUCUGAAGUCCUAAAUCCUCUGUUCUUACUGAAUUUUAUUGCAAAUAAAUGAAAGAAGAUCUGACUUUA
Molecule: long non-coding RNA, 2790 nt
Organism: Lolium rigidum
Lineage: Eukaryota; Viridiplantae; Streptophyta; Magnoliopsida; Poales; Poaceae
Exons: 3
Source: RefSeq, a predicted model, not a curated record